Ribosomal RNA from Danio rerio (zebrafish), 115 nucleotides. The record is from Ensembl. NCBI's taxonomy places the organism in Eukaryota, Metazoa, Chordata, Actinopteri, Cypriniformes, Danionidae.
GCUGGCAGCUAGCUCUCUGCAACUCUCACAUGGUCACCCACUGAAGUUAAGCAGGGCUGCGCCCGGUCAGUACCUGGAUGGGAGACCACAUGGGAAAGUUAGGUUGCUGCCGGAA